Seriola aureovittata is the source of this 1340-nucleotide long non-coding RNA. RefSeq lists it as uncharacterized. The record is from RefSeq and is a predicted model, not a curated record. NCBI's taxonomy places the organism in Eukaryota, Metazoa, Chordata, Actinopteri, Carangiformes, Carangidae. The transcript has 3 exons.
UCUGUAAACAACAGGAACAUGUUCUGAUCGGAGUCCUGAUCUUCUGUCUGUGCCUUUAAAUCUCUUCUGUGAUGUCACAGCGCUCUGGUGAAAGUUUUCCCGCCUCUGUGAUUGUCUGCCCCGCCCUGAUGUGUUUCACUUGUGUCCGUCUGUCCCGGCCGUCCUCUGUCACUUUGACCAGGAGACAGGAGCCGUUCAAGGACGCGUGGUGCGUUCAAGGACGCUUCAGUGUCCAACAUAUAAUGUCAGCAAAUCAAACACUAUCUGUGAACACACCAUCAUGGAGUCAGUGGUCACCUGUCCAGGUGUCAGCAGGGUCAGAAGCUGGUCCAGGAUCAGAUCAGUGAAACAGCUGAGAUAAGACCAGGGUCAUUAAACCACACCAUGAGGAAGAAAGGUCGCCAUGACGACCAGGAGACAAGUCAAGGUAGUGAAGGAGUGGAGGAAACGAGGAGAACCAGGUAACACACCUGGAAAAGUUGAGUCAUUGUGGAGGCGGCAGGUGGAGGAGGCUCAGAGCUCAGUGACCAGAGUUUAACCUGAUGGAUGUGAACGUGUCCUCUGGGAGUGUGUGGUCACCAGUACAGAAGGCUGCGGUUCUGCUGAUGGUACUGGUCCAGUCCCAGUGAGACUGUGUUACAGUCCAGCUGGGUGGAGCUCAGAGAAGUUAAAAAACUUCAGACGGAGCAGCAGAGCGAGGACGGCCAAACAGAAACAGCUGCAAACGUUCACGUUGUUGAAACUCUGGGAUGGAGUCAGAGCCAGUAACCGUGGUAACCGUGGCUCUCGGCAGCAUGACGGAAACGUCAUGAAUCAUCCCGUCACCGUUGGGCCCAUUCAGCCCUGCAGAGCCAAAACCCCGGUCAGGUCCAGUUCUCACCUCAGAGGUCAGAGGUCAGAUGGAAGUUAUGUGACUGAACAGGUUUCUGAGGAGUGUCCUCAGAUCAGCUGGAUGAAGAGGCUGCAGGUCCAACAGAACACAGCCCCAGAACCGGCUCACAGGAAGUCACAGACAGGAAGUCCAGUCCUCUGAUCCGACUGUUUAAAUCACAGGUUCGUCUUCGCUUCAGGUAACAUGGAUAUAAAGGUGUUCUGUCCUUACCUUUAUAUACAGCUGAUUAAAAAUAACAGCUGAAAGGUUUUCUGUUAUUAUUUGAAUGUUUGAAUUUCUUCUUUAACAUAAGAUUGAUUUAGUUUACUGAUGUAGUUGUCAUGGUAACUGAUUGGCUGUUGGGAACAGGAUAUUGUUUAAACCUGGUGGUUGGUGUCUGAUGUGUCACUGCUCACUGUCACCAUGACUGACUGACAGGAAACAACCAAUAAACUGGUCUUUAUUAUCA